GCAAGUCGAACGAGAAGCUUCUUCGGAAGUGGACAGUGGCAGACGGGUGAGUAACGCGUUGGGAUCUGCCCAGAGGUUCGGAACAACCAUUGGAAACGAUGGCUAAUACCGGAUAAGCCCUUAGGGGGAAAGAUUUAUUGCCCUUGGAUGAACCCGCGUAAGAUUAGCUAGUUGGUGAGGUAAUGGCUCACCGAGGCGACGAUCUUUAGCUGGUCUGAGAGGAUGAUC
Molecule: ribosomal RNA, 228 nt
Filed under: uncultured bacterium
Lineage: Bacteria
Description: partial 16S ribosomal RNA
Rfam family: Bacterial small subunit ribosomal RNA
Source: RNAcentral